Molecule: ribosomal RNA, 429 nt
Filed under: Actinomycetes bacterium
Lineage: Bacteria; Bacillati; Actinomycetota; Actinomycetes
Description: Actinobacteria bacterium partial 16S ribosomal RNA
Rfam family: Bacterial small subunit ribosomal RNA
Source: RNAcentral
UAGGGAAUCUUCCGCAAUGGGCGAAAGCUUGACGGAGCAACGCCGCGUGAGUGAUGAAGGUCUUCGGAUCGUAAAACUAUGUUAUUAGGGAAGAACAAAUGUGUAAGUAACUAUGCACGUCUUGACGGUACCUAAUCAGAAAGCCACGGCUAACUACGUGCCAGCAGCCGCGGUAAUACGUAGGUGGCAAGCGUUAUCCGGAAUUAUUGGGCGUAAAGCGCGCGUAGGCGGUUUUUUAAGUCUGAUGUGAAAGCCCACGGCUCAACCGUGGAGGGUCAUUGGAAACUGGAAAACUUGAGUGCAGAAGAGGAAAGUGGAAUUCCAUGUGUAGCGGUGAAAUGCGCAGAGAUAUGGAGGAACACCAGUGGCGAAGGCGACUUUCUGGUCUGUAACUGACGCUGAUGUGCGAAAGCGUGGGGAUCAAACAGG